This 698-nucleotide ribosomal RNA is filed under the name uncultured Bacteroidales bacterium. Its description in RNAcentral is "bacterial SSU rRNA". It matches the Rfam family "Bacterial small subunit ribosomal RNA", at positions 28 to 716 of the family's 1533-position model. Lineage: Bacteria; Pseudomonadati; Bacteroidota; Bacteroidia; Bacteroidales. The record is from RNAcentral.
GAUGAACGCUAGCUACAGGCUUAACACAUGCAAGUCGAGGGGCAGCAUGAACUUAGCUUGCUAAGUUUGAUGGCGACCGGCGCACGGGUGAGUAACACGUAUCCAACCUGCCGAUGACUCGGGGAUAGCCUUUCGAAAGAAAGAUUAAUACCCGAUGGCAUAGUUCUUCCGCAUGGUAGAACUAUUAAAGGAUUUCGGUCAUCGAUGGGGAUGCGUUCCAUUAGGUUGUUGGCGGGGUAACGGCCCACCAAGCCUUCGAUGGAUAGGGGUUCUGAGAGGAAGGUCCCCCACAUUGGAACUGAGACACGGUCCAAACUCCUACGGGAGGCAGCAGUGAGGAAUAUUGGUCAAUGGACGAGAGUCUGAACCAGCCAAGUAGCGUGAAGGAUGACUGCCCUAUGGGUUGUAAACUUCUUUUAUACGGGAAUAAAGUGAGGCACGUGUGCCUUUUUGUAUGUACCGUAUGAAUAAGGAUCGGCUAACUCCGUGCCAGCAGCCGCGGUAAUACGGAGGAUCCGAGCGUUAUCCGGAUUUAUUGGGUUUAAAGGGAGCGUAGGCGGACGCUUAAGUCAGUUGUGAAAGUUUGCGGCUCAACCGUAAAAUUGCAGUUGAUACUGGGUGUCUUGAGUACAGUAGAGGCAGGCGGAAUUCGUGGUGUAGCGGUGAAAUGCUUAGAUAUCACGAAGAACUCCGAUUGC